This 253-nucleotide ribosomal RNA is filed under the name uncultured bacterium. RNAcentral's name for it is "partial 16S ribosomal RNA". It matches the Rfam family "Bacterial small subunit ribosomal RNA", at positions 524 to 776 of the family's 1533-position model. The record is from RNAcentral.
UACGUAGGGUGCGAGCGUUGAUCGGAAUUACUGGGCGUAAAGCGUGCGCAGGCGGUUCGCCAAGUCAGGUGUGAAAUCCCCGGGCUCAACCUGGGAAUUGCGCUUGAAACUAGCGAGCUUGAGUGUGGCAGAGGGGGGUGGAAUUCCACGUGUAGCAGUGAAAUGCGUAGAGAUCGGGAGGAACAUCUGUGGCGAAGGCGGCCAUCUGGACCAGCACUGACACUGAGGCACGAAAGCGUGGGGAGCAAACAGG